GUUGAAGAGCAGUUCAAAUCCAGUAAUUGUGGGCAGUCUGAGCAGUAUGAUACGCACUCAUCCUGUCCUGAAAGAGGAACAGGAUGAGGGCGUAUCAUGCUUACUCCUUCUUUUGGUCGUCACUACCUGCCUGCUACUGCUUCCAGUUUGUAAUGUAGGGGGACAGGAUAAGGGUGUUGGUGUGGUUCACGCCUGCCCCCUGCUGCUGCGCAUCCAUGAUCACCGGGUUUGCCUGUCUCCUUUUCCAGUUUGGUAUGUAGUGGGACAGGAUAAGGGUGUUGGUGUGGUUCACGCCUGCCCCCUGCUGCUGCGCAUCCAUGAUCACCGGGUUUGCCUGUCUCCUUUUCCAGUUUGGUAUGUAGUGGGACAGGAUAAGGGUGUUGGUGUGGUUCACGCCUGCCCCCUGCUGCUGCGCAUCCAUGAUCACCGGGUUUGCCUGUCUCCUUUUCCAGUUUGGUAUGUAGUGGGACAGGAUAAGGGUGUUGGUGUGGUUCACGCCUGCCCCCUGCUGCUGCGCAUCCAUGAUCACCGGGUUUGCCUGUCUCCUUUUCCAGUUUGGUAUGUAGUGGGACAGGAUAAGGGUGUUGGUGUGGUUCACGCCUGCCCCCUGCUGCUGCGCAUCCAUGAUCACCGGGUUUGCCUGUCUCCUUUUCCAGUUUGGUAUGUAGUGGGACAGGAUAAGGGUGUUGGUGUGGUUCACGCCUGCCCCCUGCUGCUGCGCAUCCAUGAUCACCGGGUUUGCCUGUCUCCUUUUCCAGUUUGGUAUGUAGUGGGACAGGAUAAGGGUGUUGGUGUGGUUCACGCCUGCCCCCUGCUGCUGCGCAUCCAUGAUCACCGGGUUUGCCUGUCUCCUUUUCCAGUUUGGUAUGUAGUGGGACAGGAUAAGGGUGUUGGUGUGGUUCACGCCUGCCCCCUGCUGCUGCGCAUCCAUGAUCACCGGGUUUGCCUGUCUCCUUUUCCAGUUUGGUAUGUAGUGGGACAGGAUAAGGGUGUUGGUGUGGUUCACGCCUGCCCCCUGCUGCUGCGCAUCCAUGAUCACCGGGUUUGCCUGUCUCCUUUUCCAGUUUGGUAUGUAGUGGGACAGGAUAAGGGUGUUGGUGUGGUUCACGCCUGCCCCCUGCUGCUGCGCAUCCAUGAUCACCGGGUUUGCCUGUCUCCUUUUCCAGUUUGGUAUGUAGUGGGACAGGAUAAGGGUGUUGGUGUGGUUCACGCCUGCCCCCUGCUGCUGCGCAUCCAUGAUCACCGGGUUUGCCUGUCUCCUUUUCCAGUUUGGUAUGUAGUGGGACAGGAUAAGGGUGUUGGUGUGGUUCACGCCUGCCCCCUGCUGCUGCGCAUCCAUGAUCACCGGGUUUGCCUGUCUCCUUUUCCAGUUUGGUAUGUAGUGGGACAGGAUAAGGGUGUUGGUGUGGUUCACGCCUGCCCCCUGCUGCUGCGCAUCCAUGAUCACCGGGUUUGCCUGUCUCCUUUUCCAGUUUGGUAUGUAGUGGGACAGGAUAAGGGUGUUGGUGUGGUUCACGCCUGCCCCCUGCUGCUGCGCAUCCAUGAUCACCGGGUUUGCCUGUCUCCUUUUCCAGUUUGGUAUGUAGUGGGACAGGAUAAGGGUGUUGGUGUGGUUCACGCCUGCCCCCUGCUGCUGCGCAUCCAUGAUCACCGGGUUUGCCUGUCUCCUUUUCCAGUUUGUUAUGUAGUGGGACAGGAUAAGGGUGUUGGUGUGGUUCACGCCUGCCCCCUGCUGCUGCGCAUCCAUGAUCACCGGGUUUGCCUGUCUCCUUUUCCAGUUUGUUAUGUAGUGGGACAGGAUAAGGGUGUUGGUGUGGUUCACGCCUGCCCCCUGCUGCUGCGCAUCCAUGAUCACCGGGUUUGCCUGUCUCCUUUUCCAGUUUGUUAUAUAGGGGGACAGGAUAAGGGUGUUGGUGUGGUUAACUCCUGCCCCCUGCUGCUGCGCAUCCAUGAUCACCGGGUUUGCCUGUCUCCUUUUCCAGUUUGUAAUGUUGUGGGACAGGAUAAGGGUGUUGGUGAGGUUCACGCCUGCCCCCUGCUGCUGCGCAUCCAUGAUCACCGGGUUUGCCUGUAGAGUCAGGUCAAGCAAAAAGACUCGGUUUUCGAAAUCGAAAAAAAACAAUAUUUUUGAUUGACAAGUCCGGACUCGACUUCGGCCAAUUUAUCUAAAAUCGAGUAAAAGUCUUGAGUGCCUUCGGCUCGAGUUCGGACUCGCCUCAGCAAUAGUACCCAGCAAUAGUAGUUCCCUCCUCUCUCUUUCUCUUUCUUUCUUUCUCUCCUUUUCUGGAAGCUUGUUUCGUUGAGAUUUAGACCGGGGUAUGUCGCUCAGGAUCCUCUCCAUAAGAAUGUUAUUGUUUUGAAGUUACCGUGGGGUCAAUGAGCUAUGAGGUUUGGAAGCGCCUGUAAGAGUUGGAUGACCAAUGAAGCUUCAUCCCCUUUCAUCAGUCACAUAAAUCUUUUGAACUGGCUGGUUGGGCAAAUACUUCGCCUAUUCUUCAAUCAUGGAAUCGUUCAUAGUCCCUGCUCAAACUGAGCCUACUGUUGGUUUUGUGGAUUCAUUUUUGCACAAAUUGCCCCGUGAUUCUCAGUUUUCUCAAAGUCAAAUUAUUCCUAUAUAUUCAGCGAAUGCUCUAACUUCUAACCAAGACCAACUGACUUUUGUGAUACCAAAACAAACCGGUGGCAACACAAUUCAUUUGGCCAAUAUUAUAGUGGAGGUAGUAUAUUGCAACCAAUGACUUUUAAUCCUGCAUCAUGAAUGGUUUUGUUGCUUUUGGCAGGCUGGCAUUAAGCUCACAACUGCCUCUGGAAAUCCGCCCAACAACUGGUGGACCUGGAAUUGUAGCUAACAUUCUUCCCAGGUACAGUUAAUGGUUCUCACCCCUAUGGGUUCAAUGAUUCAUUUUUAUACUUAUCCUUUUCUUUUACUGCAUGUUCAAGGAGGUCAGGUUGAUUGUAAAUGGAACCCUUUUGAAUCCUCAGUGAGACAAUUGUCAGUUUGUCUCUUACUUAUCUAUAACAUUGUCUUACUGUAACGACGCUAAGAUGAGCCAAAAGUGCAUGGAGGGCUAUUACCAGGAUGAUCUCUCUGGCGGUGUGCAAUCAAAUGAUAUAAAUAACGCAGGCUUUAUGGAAAGACGUCAACGAUUUUUAACUAAAUCGAUUCCUCAGACAUAUAAAGCAUAUCCCUCAAUUUUUAUGGGCCAACUACAAACCGGCAUUUUUUUCAAUGAGGAAGGCAUGCUACCUGAUGGCUGUGAUGUUACAAUCGUUUUUACCCAGACAAAUAUUUCCGUCCCACAUAGGAAAUGUGUGUUUAUGUGUGAUUUAAUAUUUUUUUUUGUACUUAGCUAAUGAAUUUCGAGCCUUUAUCUCUUACGAGACGGAUGAUAUUGUGGUGACAUUGGUCUCACUCAAGCUGCACGUAAAAAUAUCUGCCCUCAUGCCCGAAUUAGUGAAUAAACUGGAAGAAAAAAUGAA
This is an RNA transcript of Tigriopus californicus, 3480 nucleotides long. RefSeq lists it as uncharacterized. The transcript has 3 exons. NCBI's taxonomy places the organism in Eukaryota, Metazoa, Arthropoda, Copepoda, Harpacticoida, Harpacticidae. The record is from RefSeq and is a predicted model, not a curated record.